This 1097-nucleotide ribosomal RNA is filed under the name Malgassophlebia aequatoris. RNAcentral's name for it is "partial 16S ribosomal RNA". The record is from RNAcentral. Lineage: Eukaryota; Metazoa; Arthropoda; Insecta; Odonata; Libellulidae.
UUUGUUUAGUAUAUUAAAGAAAAAAUUUUUUUGUUAUAGUAGAUUAGUACUGUGAAGGAAUAGAUGAAAUAAUUUAAAUUUAUUUUAUUUUAAGUAUAUUUUAUUUGUAGUACCUUUUGUAUCAGGGUUGAUUAAUUAUCAAAUUUAUAUUUUUAUCUCGAUUUUAAAAGAGCUAUUUUGUUAUUUUAGUAACGUGGUAUAGUUAUUAAUAAUAAAAAUUAGAGGAGAAAUUUUAUUCGAUUUUAAAGGUAUCUAGUUUUUUAAGAAUUAAAUUUAAUUUAAUUUCAUUACUUAAUUAUUAUAUUAUUUAUAAAUUAUUUGUUGAAUUAAAAAUUAUAGGGGAUAAGCUCUAUAUUUUUCUAUAAAAAUUCUAUUAAUAAAUUUUUGUAGGUUUAAAAAUACCCAUCAUUAUAAAAUAUGUUAUAAUUUAUUUUUAUUAUUAAUUAAUUUUGAAAUUUUUAGAAUAUUAUUAAAAUACCAAAAUUAAUUAUUAAUUUUGGGAAAUAAUGAUUAAAUUAGUAUAAAUUUAUGUUUAUCAUUAUAUAAUGAAAAUAAUAAAAUAAGGAACUCGGCAAAUAUAGUUCUCGCCUGUUUACCAAAAACAUGGCCUUUUGAAAUUUUAUUGAAGGUCUGGCCUGCCCAGUGAUAAUUUUAACGGCCGCGGUAUAUUGACCGUGCAAAGGUAGCAUAAUCAUUAGUCUUUUAAUAGAGGGCUGGAAUGAAAGGUUUAACGAGGAACUGACUGUCUCAUUUUAUUUGUUUUAAAAUUUAAUUUUUUAGUUAAAAAGCUAAAAUAUUAUUGGAAGACGAGAAGACCCUAUAGAUCUUUAUAUAAUUUAUUUAAUUGUUUUUAUAUUAAUGUGAUUAUUUUAAAUUUUAUUAUGUUGGGGUGACAAAAAUAUAUAAAAAACUUUUUGAUGUUCAUACAUUGAUAUAUGAUUAUUAGAUCCAUUCUUAGUGAUUGUUAGAUAAAGUUACCUUAGGGAUAACAGCGUAAUCCUCCUCCAGAGUUCAUAUUUACAGGAUGGGCUUGCGACCUCGAUGUUGGAUUAAGAUGAUAAUUAGGUGUAGCCGCUUAAUUUAUAGGUCUGUUCGAC